Molecule: ribosomal RNA, 460 nt
Filed under: uncultured bacterium
Lineage: Bacteria
Description: partial 16S ribosomal RNA
Rfam family: Bacterial small subunit ribosomal RNA
Source: RNAcentral
CCUACGGGUGGCAGCAGUGAGGAAUAUUGGUCAAUGGGCGCUAGCCUGAACCAGCCAAGUCGCGUGAAGGAUGACUGCCCUAUGGGUUGUAAACUUCUUUUAUCUGGGAAUAAAGUGCAGUAUGCAUACUGCUUUGCAUGUACCUUAUGAAUAAGGAUCGGCUAACUCCGUGCCAGCAGCCGCGGUAAUACGGAGGAUCCGAGCGUUAUCCGGAUUUGUUGGGUUUAAAGGGAGGGUAGGCGGGUUGUUAAGUCGGGUGUGCAAGUUUGCGGCUCAACCGGAAAAUUGCAGUUGAUACUGGCAUCCUUGAGUACAGUAGAGGUAGGCGGAAUUCGUGGUGUAGCGGUGAAAUGCGUAGAUAUCACGAAGAACUCCGAUUGCGAAGGCAGCCUGCUGGACUGUAACUGACGCUGAGGCUCGAAAGUGUGGGUAUCAAACAGGAUUAGAUACCCUUGUAGUC